GCCCCUUCGGGGGUACACGAGCGGCGAACGGGUGAGUAACACGUGAGCAACCUACCCUCAACUUUGGGAUAAGCCUCGGAAACGGGGUCUAAUACCGGAUAAUACUGACCGUCUCCUGGUGGUUGGUUGAAAGUUCUGGCGGUUGGGGAUGGGCUCGCGGCCUAUCAGCUUGUUGGUGGGGUAAUGGCCUACCAAGGCGUCGACGGGUAGCCGGCCUGAGAGGGCGACCGGCCACACUGGGACUGAGACACGGCCCAGACUCCUACGGGAGGCAGCAGUGGGGAAUAUUGCGCAAUGGACGAAAGUCUGACGCAGCAACGCCGCGUGAGGGAUGACGGCCUUCGGGUUGUAAACCUCUUUCAGCAGGGACGAAGCGAGAGUGACGGUACCUGCAGAAGAAGGACCGGCCAACUACGUGCCAGCAGCCGCGGUAAUACGUAGGGUCCGAGCGUUGUCCGGAAUUAUUGGGCGUAAAGGGCUCGUAGGCGGUUCGUCACGUCGGGAGUGAAAACUCGGGGCUUAACCCCGAGCCUGCUUCCGAUACGGGCAGACUAGAGGUAGGCAGGGGAGAGCGGAACUCCUGGUGUAGCGGUGGAAUGCGCAGAUAUCAGGAAGAACACCGGUGGCGAAGGCGGCUCUCUGGGCCUUACCUGACGCUGAGGAGCGAAAGCGUGGGUAGCGAACAGGAUUAGAUACCCUGGUAGUCCACGCCGUAAACGUUGGGCGCUAGGUGUGGGGG
Molecule: ribosomal RNA, 739 nt
Filed under: Kribbella sp.
Lineage: Bacteria; Bacillati; Actinomycetota; Actinomycetes; Propionibacteriales; Kribbellaceae
Description: bacterial SSU rRNA
Rfam family: Bacterial small subunit ribosomal RNA
Source: RNAcentral